Molecule: ribosomal RNA, 577 nt
Filed under: uncultured bacterium
Lineage: Bacteria
Description: partial 16S ribosomal RNA
Rfam family: Bacterial small subunit ribosomal RNA
Source: RNAcentral
UGGGAAUUUUGGACAAUGGGCGCAAGCCUGAUCCAGCCAUGCCGCGUGCGGGAAGAAGGCCUUCGGGUUGUAAACCGCUUUUGUCAGGGAAGAAAUCUUCUGAGUUAAUACCUCGGGAGGAUGACGGUACCUGAAGAAUAAGCACCGGCUAACUACGUGCCAGCAGCCGCGGUAAUACGUAGGGUGCAAGCGUUAAUCGGAAUUACUGGGCGUAAAGCGUGCGCAGGCGGUUUUGUAAGACAGAGGUGAAAUCCCCGGGCUCAACCUGGGAACUGCCUUUGUGACUGCAAGGCUUGAGUGCGGCAGAGGGGGAUGGAAUUCCGCGUGUAGCAGUGAAAUGCGUAGAUAUGCGGAGGAACACCGAUGGCGAAGGCAAUCCCCUGGGCCUGCACUGACGCUCAUGCACGAAAGCGUGGGGAGCAAAACAGGAUUAGAUACCCUGGUAGUCCACGCCCUAAACGAUGUCAACUGGUUGUUGGGAAGGUUCCUUCUCAGUAACGUAGCUAACGCGUGAAGUUGACCGCCUGGGGAGUACGGCCGCAAGGUUGAAACUUAAAUGAAUUGACGGGGUCAUAGC